UGGUAGUNCACGCCGUAAACGAUGAGUGCUAGGUGUUAGACCCUUUCCGGGGUUUAGUGCCGCAGCUAACGCAUUAAGCACUCCGCCUGGGGAGUACGACCGCAAGGUUGAAACUCAAAGGAAUUGACGGGGGCCCGCGCAAGCGGUGGAGCAUGUGGUUUAAUUCGAAGCAACGCGAAGAACCUUACCAGGUCUUGACAUCCCUCUGACCGCUCUAGAGAUAGAGUUUUCCUUCGGGACAGAGGUGACAGGUGGUGCAUGGUUGUCGUCAGCUCGUGUCGUGAGAUGUUGGGUUAAGUNNNNNNNCGAGCGCAACCCCUAUUGUUAGUUGCCAUCAUUCAGUUGGGCACUCUAGCGAGACUGCCGGUAAUAAACCGGAGGAAGGUGGGGAUGACGUCAAAUCAUCAUGCCCCUUAUGACCUGGGCUACACACGUGCUACAAUGGCUGGUACAACGAGUCGCAAGCCGGUGACGGCAAGCUAAUCUCUUAAAGCCAGUCUCAGUUCGGAUUGUAGGCUGCAACUCGCCUACAUGAAGUCGGAAUCGCUAGUAAUCGCGGAUCAGCACGCCGCGGUGAAUACGUUCCCGGGCCUU
RNAcentral lists this ribosomal RNA (594 nucleotides) under uncultured bacterium. Its description in RNAcentral is "bacterial SSU rRNA". It matches the Rfam family "Bacterial small subunit ribosomal RNA", at positions 788 to 1382 of the family's 1533-position model. The record is from RNAcentral.